GAUGAAGAACGCAGCGAAAUGCGAUAAGUAAUGUGAAUUGCAGAAUUCAGUGAAUCAUCGAAUCUUUGAACGCACCUUGCGCUCCUUGGUAUUCCAAAGAGCAUGCCUGUUUGAGUAUCAUUAAAUUAUCAACUGUACCAAUGUGGUUGCAGAUUGGAUGUGGGAGAUUUUGCAGGCUUUUGAUUUCUCUUUGAGAAAACGGUCAGCUCUCCUGAAAUAUAUUAGCAGUGCCUUUGUUGGUUCAUUAGGUGUGAUAAUUUAUCUACAUCUUCACAUGGUACCUUCAUUUGUGUAAAGGUCAAAUUGCUUCUAAUUGUCUUUGGACAUAAAAAAAAAAAAACAUAUAAUUGUAUGGAAAACUUGAUCUCAAAUCAGGCAGGACUACCCGCUGAACUUAAGCAUAUCAAAAGCGGAGGA
RNAcentral lists this unclassified non-coding RNA (417 nucleotides) under soil metagenome. RNAcentral describes it as "partial contains 5.8S ribosomal RNA, internal transcribed spacer 2, and large subunit ribosomal RNA". The stretch from base 1 to 120 matches the Rfam family "5.8S ribosomal RNA", at positions 35 to 154 of the family's 154-position model. The record is from RNAcentral.